This 504-nucleotide unclassified non-coding RNA is filed under the name plant metagenome. Its description in RNAcentral is "partial contains small subunit ribosomal RNA and internal transcribed spacer 1". The record is from RNAcentral.
AAGUCGUAACAAGGUUUUGACCCUUCUAGAUAGGAAUACCAAUCUACAGGAACCUUUUGUAUUCAACGACUAUAAACAAUGAGUCUGGAAAUCUUUCUGAAUCUCCAGGCAACACCAGUGCAUUGUUCUGGGAGAAUAAUUAAUUAAAUAAUUCUACCAGCAGCUGCGAAAAGCAGUCCACAGAUUAAGCACUUGGGUGGUUCGAAAUUGAAUUUAAAAUAAAAAAAUUGAUUUUGAAUUAAAAUAUAAUCGAGACUCACUGUGAAGAACAGUUCUACGAGAUUAAUCGCCGUAGGUGAACCUGCGGAAGGAUCAUUAAAAGAGAAUCAUCUUGGGUAAAACCAAGUAUGAAUCCCAACCCUUGUUUAUACAAAAAACAAAAUUGUUGCUUCGGCGAAUGAUUUAUUUCGUCGCCAGAAGAACCAAACCAAACUAUUAUUAAAAAACAAUUGUCUGAAUCAAUAUUUGAAUUCGAGUAAAAUCGAAUAAUCAAUUUAUUUACAA